Long non-coding RNA from Rhipicephalus microplus (southern cattle tick), 599 nucleotides. Lineage: Eukaryota; Metazoa; Arthropoda; Arachnida; Ixodida; Ixodidae. The record is from RefSeq and is a predicted model, not a curated record.
ACCACUAUGUGCUGCUACGCUGGAACCACCACAGCGACCACGAACAGCCCUGAAGUAGCCCACUCAAGUGUGAGGGAGGCUGCACCGCUUAUCAAUUAUGUGCCCACUGACAGAGAGGUAUCAUAAACCUCUGGUAUGCUUUGUCUUGAAGAUAUAUUGUUUUGCUUUUUAAUGAGAAAAUGUGCAUUGACAAACUAAUGUGUGCACAUCAUCUUGGACUUGUUUUAUAGGUGCAUCGGAGCAAAGGAAUUGCCGUUCCCAAGAGGUUGUACAAUCACCCCGUGGGCUUGAAAAGACAGACCCAUUUUGUUCGUGAGGCGGCCGUUACCAUUUUUCAUACAGCAGGCCAAGUCGGUAGAAGUGUUACUGGUGCAGCCUCCAAUCGGUCUAAAGGGGAGGCGAAAUCUCCCUAGGAGAAAGAAACAUAUGCUGUAUUUUCAGAUUUCUUCAACCAUUUUUUUGAAGCACACCGUUCUGAUUGGAAAGGUUGAACAAAUGAAGAAGCUCCUCAAUAAAGCUUUGGCAAACAAAAUUAUUGACUUUAUGAAAUCAAAAGAUUAACCAAGGAAUGGCACAUCAAAUAAAAUAUUUUGUUUGAU